AUUCAUGCUGUUUGUAGCGUGCAGGUCGGUGGUGUUACACACAUUCAUGCUGUUGUAGGCGUGCAGGUCGGGGUGUUACACCAUUCAUGCUGUUGCAGGCGUGCAGGUCGGUGGUGGUACACACAUUCAUGGCUGUUGUAGGCGUGCAGGUCGGUGGUGUUACACACAUUCAUGCUGUUGUAGCGUGCAGGUCGGUGGUGUUACAACAUUCAUGCUGUUGCAGGCGUGCAGGUCGGUGGUGUUCACACAUUCAUGCUGUUGUAGGCGUGCAGGUCAGUGGUGUUACACACAUUCAUGCUGUUGCAGGCGUGCAGGUCGGUGGUGGUACACACAUUCAUGCUGUUGUAGGGUGCAGGUCGGUGGUGGUACUUCAUGCUGUUGCAGGCGUGCAGGUCGGUGGUGUUACACACAUUCAUGCUGUUGUGCAGCCAUCACCUCCACCGGUGGACACCAGGGCUGUGCUGUUUUGGUUGCUGUAAGCGUGGGUGCACACUCCUGCCUGAGGCUCUGACUUGUUGUGAGUGCGGGUGCACACACCUGCCUGAGGCUGUGUUUUGGGUGUUGUGAGCGCGGGUACACACACCUGCCUGAGGCUCUGUUUUGACUGUUGUGAGCGCAGGUGCACACACCUGCCAGAGGCUCUGUUUUGACUGUUGUGAGCGCGGGUGCACACACCUGCCUGAGGCUGUGGUGCGAUCUCAGCUGACUGCAACCUCCACCUCCCGGGUUCAAGCGGUUCUCCUGCCUCAGCCUCCCGAGUAGCUGGGACUAUACCCACCACCACACCCGGCUAUUUUUUUGUAUUUUUAGUAGAGAUGGGAUUUCGCCAUCUUGGCCAGGAUGGUCUGGAACUGACCUCAGGUGAUCCACCCAUUGGCCUCCCAAAGUGCUGGGAUUACAGAUGUGAGCCACUGUGCCCGGCCUCUUUUUACUUUGUUAAUGGUGUAUUUUGAUAGAGAACAGAUUGUCAUUUUCAUGAAGCACAGCUGGUCGGUUUAUUGUUGCUCAUGUAUUUGGCCUCACGUUCGAGUCCCUGUUCUUAAUCAUGAGCUGGACACAUCCCUCUUUAGAGCAACUGUGACCACUUGUGGUGAGAAGUGCAGCCCACACCAUCCACGUGAGGCUCCCAUGCAGAUGUUUAGAAGGCGUUUCCACUGCAGCUCAGAAAAUGGCCCCAGGCGCCCAUGGGCACCCCCAUGUCACUAGGGCCUCUGGUUGCUGCAGGUACACAGGGAUAAGCAGCCUGGCCUCGAAGGCGCUUGGCAUGGGUUUGGGUGUCUGCAUUGGGUAGAGACCCGGAGCACCCUUGCUGGGCGUGCCCUAACAUCCCAGUACCCUGUGCCCCUCUGUGGGCCAGGAUGCCUGGUGCUGCCAGCUGGGCGUGAGCCCUGAGGAGCUGAGGGUGGCUGUGACUUGGAGGAUGAGUGGGAGCUUACCAGGAGGGCGUGGAGCCGGGGCGUUUAAUAUCAUCAGGAGCAACACUGGGCUCAGAAGGCAGGCACACUUGCCGUCCCUCCAGAGCCAUGGCUGACGGCCAGGCCUGGCGGGCUCUCGUGAGGACAGUGCCUGUGGUUGUCAGAUGCUGUCCCUUCGGGUAAGGGAUGAGAGCCAUCCUGAAGACAGGUCAGCUCUGUGGUGGCCACCCGUCGGGAUCAGUGACAUUCAGGUGUGUUGCACUGGUGGCUGUGUGGCUGUGUGGUGUGUGGCUGUGUGGUGUGUGGUGUGGCCACCAGGAGCCAUGUGGCCGAGGACAGCUGUGGGCUGGGCACAGAGCUGUCUCUGCUGGGAGUCAGUCGGUGCUGGGGUGAGGGGAGGCAGAGCUCACAGAGCCCCUCUACAGCUUACCCUGCAGCUCUGCCCCAGGCAGUAAACCCACCAUCCCCCUUUCUGCCGCAGGAGGCCGUGGAGAAGGUGACGCAGCACAUACAUGGCCUGUCUGGGAAGAAGGAUGGGCUGGUGCCCAUGUUCAUCAAUACCCACAGCGGCCUCUUCACCCACCUGGGCGUGUUCACACUGGGCGCCAGGGCCGACAGCUACUAUGAGUACCUGCUGAAGCAGUGGAUCCAGGGCGGGAAGCAGGAGACACAGCUGCUGGAAGACUACCUGGAAGCCAUCGAGGGUGUCAAAACGCACCUGCUGCGGCACUCCGAGCCCAGUAAGCUCACCUUCGUGGGGGAGCUUGCCCACGGCCGCUUCAGUGCCAAGAUGGGACGCUGGCUCUGGGCGUCUACCACGGCCUGCCCGCCAGCCACAUGGAGCUGGCCCAGGAGCUCAUGGAGACUUGUUACCAGAUGAACCGGCAGAUGGAGACGGGGCUGAGUCCCGAGAUCGUGCACUUCAACCUUUACCCCCAGCCGGGCCGUCGGGACGUGGAGGUCAAGCCGGCAGACAGGCACAACCUGCUGCGGCCAGAGACCGUGGAGAGCCUGUUCUACCUGUACCGUGUCACAGGGGACCGCAAGUACCAGGACUGGGGCUGGGAGAUUCUGCAGAGCUUCAGCCGGUUCACGCGGGUCCCCUCGGGUGGCUAUUCUUCCAUCAACAAUGUCCAGGAUCCUCAGAAGCCCGAGCCCAGGGACAAGAUGGAGAGCUUCUUCCUGGGGGAGACGCUCAAGUAUCUGUUCUUGCUCUUCUCUGACGACCGUAACCUACUCAGCCUGGACGCCUACGUGUUCAACACUGAAGCCCACCCUCUGCCUAUCUGGACCCCUGCCUAGGGGGGACGGCUGCUGCUGUGGGGACUUCGGGUGGGCAGAGGCGCCUGGCUGGGUCUGUGGCAUUUUCCAAGGGCCCACGUAGCGCCGGCAACCGCCGAGUGGCCCGGGCUCUGAACUGGCUCUGGGCUCCUCCUUGUCUCUGCUUUAAUCAGGACACCGUGAGGCCAAGUGAGGCCGUCAGUCUGUGUGUGAUGCGGUGUGGGCUGGGCCACUGGAGCCUCCGCCUGCUUCCUCCAGAAAACACGAAUCAUGACUCACGAUCGCUGAAGCCUGAGCAGGUCUCUGUGGGCCGACCGGAGGGGCUUCGAGUGGCCCCUGGCACUGUGGUGACCGAGUGGACAGCCCAGGGUGCAGCUCUGCCCAGGCUCGUGAAGCCUCAGAUGUCCCCAAUCCAAGGGUCUGGAGGGGCUGCCGUGACUCCACAGGCCCGAGGCUCCAGGGCUGGCUCUGGUGUUUACUAGCUGGACUCAGGGAUCCUCCUGGCCACCCCGCAGGGGGCUUGGAGGGCUGGACGGCAAGUCUGUCUGGCUCACGGGCCCCUCCAGUGGAAUGGGUCCUUUCGGUGGAGAUAAAAGUUGAUUUGCUCU
This 3304-nucleotide small RNA is filed under the name Pongo abelii (Sumatran orangutan). Its description in RNAcentral is "retained intron". The record is from RNAcentral. Lineage: Eukaryota; Metazoa; Chordata; Mammalia; Primates; Hominidae.